AUUGAACGCUGGCGGCAGGCCUAACACAUGCAAGUCGGGCGAGGGGCGGACGGGUGAGUAAUGUGUGAGGAUCUGCCUGAUGGAGGGGGAUAACUACUGAAAACGAUCGCUAAUACCACAUACCCUCAUGUGAACCCAUAUGGGAUUAGCUUAUAGGUAAGGUAACGGCUUACCUAGGCUACGAUCCCUAGCUGGUCUGAGAGGAUGAUCAGCCACACUGGGACUGAGACACGGCCCAGACUCCUACGGGAGGCAGCAGUGGGGAAUAUUGCACAAUGGGCGCAAGCCUGAUGCAGCCAUGCCGCGUGUAUGAAGAAGGCCUUCGGGUUGUAAAGUACUUUCAGUGGGGAGGCGUUACCGACAGAAGAAGCACCGGCUAACUCCGUGCCAGCAGCCGCGGUAAUAC
Molecule: ribosomal RNA, 406 nt
Filed under: uncultured bacterium
Lineage: Bacteria
Description: partial 16S ribosomal RNA
Rfam family: Bacterial small subunit ribosomal RNA
Source: RNAcentral